GAUGAACGCUAGCGGGAGGCUUAACACAUGCAAGUCGAGGGGCAGCACAGGUAGCAAUACUUGGUGGCGACCGGCGGACGGGUGCGUAACGCGUAUGCAACCUACCUUAUACAGGGGGAUAGCCCGGGGAAACUCGGAUUAAUAUUCCAUAGUUCAGUAAAUUCGCAUGGGAUUACUGAUAAAACUCAGGUGGUAUAAGAUGGGCAUGCGUCUGAUUAGGUAGUUGGUAGGGUAACGGCCUACCAAGCCGACGAUCAGUAGGGGUUCUGAGAGGAUCAUCCCCCACACUGGUACUGAGACACGGACCAGACUCCUACGGGAGGCAGCAGUGAGGAAUAUUGGUCAAUGGGCGCAAGCCUGAACCAGCCAUCCCGCGUGAAGGAUGAAGGCCUUAUGGGUUGUAAACUUCUUUUGUACCUGAAGAAACCCUUCUACGUGUAGGAGGUUGCCGGUAAGGUACGAAUAAGCAUCGGCUAACUCCGUG
Molecule: ribosomal RNA, 484 nt
Filed under: uncultured bacterium
Lineage: Bacteria
Description: bacterial SSU rRNA
Rfam family: Bacterial small subunit ribosomal RNA
Source: RNAcentral